CACCCGCAGCACAAGUGGUGGUCACUUUUAUUGAGCCUAAAGCGUUCGUAGCCGGUUCUGUAAAUCUUUAGAUAAAGCCUGAAGCUUAACUCCAGAAAGUCUGAAGAGACUGCAAGACUUGAGAUCGGGUGAGGUUAAACGUACUUUCAGGGUAGGGGUAAAAUCCUGUAAUCCCGGAAGGACGACCAGUGGCGAAAGCGUUUAACUAGAACGAAUCUGACGGUAAGGAACGAAGGCUAGGGUAGCAAACCGGAUUAGAUACCCGGGUAGUCCUAGCUGUAAACACUGCCCAUUUGAUGUUGCUUUUCCGUUGAGGGAAGGCAGUGUCGGAGCGAAGGUGUUAAAUGGGCCGCUUGGGAAGUAUGGUCGCAAGACUGAAAGUUAAAGGAAUUGGCGGGGGAGCACCGCAACGGGAGGAAUGUGCGGUUUAAUUGGAUUCAACGCCGGAAAACUCACCGGGAACGACCUGUGCAUGAGAGUCAACCUGACGAGUUUACUCGAUAGCAGGAGAGGUGGUGCAUGGCCGUCGUCAGCUCGUACCGUAGGGCGUUCACUUAAGUGUGAUAACGAGCGAGACCCACAUCUUUAAUUGCAAAUGUAUAUGAGAAUAUGCAUGCACUUUAGAGAAACCGCCAGCGCUAAGCUGGAGGAAGGAGUGGUCGACGGCAGGUCAGUACGCCCCGAAUUUCCCGGGCUACACGCGCAUUACAAAGAACGGGACAAUACGUUGCAACCUCGAAAGGGGAAGCUAAUCGCGAAACCCGUCCAUAGUUAGGAUUGAGGGCUGUAACUCGCCCUCAUGAAUCUGGAUUCCGUAGUAAUCGCGGGUCAACAACCCGCGGUGAACAUGCCCCUGCUCCUUGCACACACCGCCCGUCAAACCAUCCGAGUUGGUGUUGGAUGAGGUUUAAUUCGAGAGGGUUAAAUCAAAUCUGAUGUCGGUGAGGAGGGUU
Molecule: ribosomal RNA, 953 nt
Filed under: uncultured archaeon
Lineage: Archaea
Description: bacterial SSU rRNA
Rfam family: Archaeal small subunit ribosomal RNA
Source: RNAcentral